Molecule: ribosomal RNA, 554 nt
Filed under: uncultured bacterium
Lineage: Bacteria
Description: partial 16S ribosomal RNA
Rfam family: Bacterial small subunit ribosomal RNA
Source: RNAcentral
UGGGGAAUUUUGGACAAUGGGCGAAAGCCUGAUCCAGCAAUGCCGCGUGUGUGAAGAAGGCCUUCGGGUUGUAAAGCACUUUUGUCCGGAAAGAAAUCCUUGGCUCUAAUACAGUCGGGGGAUGACGGUACCGGAAGAAUAAGCACCGGCUAACUACGUGCCAGCAGCCGCGGUAAUACGUAGGGUGCAAGCGUUAAUCGGAAUUACUGGGCGUAAAGCGUGCGCAGGCGGUUUGCUAAGACCGAUGUGAAAUCCCGGGCUCAACCUGGGAACUGCAUUGGUGACUGGCAGGCUAGAGUAUGGCAGAGGGGGGUAGAAUUCCACGUGUAGCAGUGAAAUGCGUAGAGAUGUGGAGGAAUACCGAUGGCGAAGGCAGCCCCCUGGGCCAAAUACUGACGCUCAUGCACGAAAGCGUGGGGAGCAAACAGGAUUAGAUACCCUGGUAGUCCACGCCCUAAACGAUGUCAACUAGUUGUUGGGGAUUCAUUUCCUUAGUAACGUAGCUAACGCGUGAAGUUGACCGCCUGGGGAGUACGGUCGCAAGAUUAAAACUC